UGGUCCUACGGGGCGCAGCAGUAGGGAAUAUUGCUCAAUGGGGGAAACCCUGAAGCAGCAACGCCGCGUGGAGGAUGAAGGUUUUCGGAUUGUAAACUCCUUUUGUUAGAGAAGAUAAUGACGGUAUCUAACGAAUAAGCACCGGCUAACUCCGUGCCAGCAGCCGCGGUAAUACGGAGGGUGCAAGCGUUACUCGGAAUCACUGGGCGUAAAGAGCGCGUAGGCGGGAUAGCAAGUCAGAUGUGAAAUCCCAAGGCUCAACCUUGGAACUGCAUUUGAAACUGUUGGUCUUGAGUAUCGGAGAG
This 305-nucleotide ribosomal RNA is filed under the name uncultured bacterium. RNAcentral describes it as "bacterial SSU rRNA". It matches the Rfam family "Bacterial small subunit ribosomal RNA", at positions 334 to 656 of the family's 1533-position model. The record is from RNAcentral.